GAUGUAGUACCUUGUGUUGACAGAAAAUAAUGCAACCAUGGGAUAUUGUACCCUGUGUUAGCAAAAAAUAAUGCAACCGGGGGAUGUUGUACCCUGUGUUGACAACAACAUGAGGCUCGUGGCACUCUGAAAUGCUACUAGGGGUGGUUGUAUCCUAUGUAGAAAAUAGUGCAACUAGGGGAUAUAGUACCAUAUGUUGAUGGAAAAUAAUGCAAUCAGGGGAUGUUCUACCCUGUGUUAACAACAAAAUGAGGCUCGUGGCACUCUGAAAUGCUACUAGGGAAUGUUGUACCCUAUAUUGGCAGCAAAAUGAUGCAACUAGGGUAUGUAGUACCCUGUUUUCACAAAAAAUAAUGCAACCAGGGAAUAUUAUACCCUGUGUUGGCAAAAACGGAUGCAACAAGGGGAUGUUGUAUCCCGUGUUGACAACAAAAUGAGGAUCGUGUCACUCUGAAAUGCUACUAGGGGAGGUUGUACACUAUGUAAAAAA
RNAcentral lists this long non-coding RNA (490 nucleotides) under Nicotiana benthamiana. RNAcentral describes it as "long non-coding RNA (NBEN_LNC015801)". Lineage: Eukaryota; Viridiplantae; Streptophyta; Magnoliopsida; Solanales; Solanaceae. The record is from RNAcentral.